RNAcentral lists this ribosomal RNA (254 nucleotides) under uncultured bacterium. RNAcentral describes it as "partial 16S ribosomal RNA". It matches the Rfam family "Bacterial small subunit ribosomal RNA", at positions 524 to 776 of the family's 1533-position model. The record is from RNAcentral.
UACGAAGGGGGCUAGCGUUGUUCGGAUUUACGUGGGCGUAAAGCGCACGUAGGCGGAUCGUUAAGUCGGGGGUGAAAUCCUGGAGCUCAACUCCAGAACUGCCUUCGAUACUGAGAGUCUUGAGUCCGGGAGAGGUGAGUGGAACUGCGAGUGUAGAGGUGAAAUUCGUAGAUAUCGGAAGGAACACCAGUGGCGAAAGCGGCUUCCUGGUCCAGCACCGACGUCAGGCACGAAAGCGUGGGGGAGCAAACAGG